AUGGGGAACUGCGCCAUCACGCACCAGGCCACCUCGUGGGCGGACGACGGCGAGUGGGAGCUGCCGUCGCCCGGCGACGAGGACGAGGGGCAAGCGGAGCAGAGGAAGGAGCACGUCAGCGAGGUGACCAUCAGGAUCAGCAAGCGGCAGCUGCAGGAGCUGGUGGACAAGAGGGCCGACGACGGCGUCUGGAAGGGCCGGCGGUCGGCGUCGGAGCUUCUGACGGACAUCAUGAACGCCGGGGAGGUGCACCACCACGUCGACCACUGCAGGGCGGCGCACUGGAAGCCCGCUCUGCAGAGCAUCCCGGAGGCGGUGGAGUCGUGA
RNAcentral lists this ribosomal RNA (327 nucleotides) under Triticum aestivum (bread wheat). RNAcentral describes it as "partial small subunit ribosomal RNA". Lineage: Eukaryota; Viridiplantae; Streptophyta; Magnoliopsida; Poales; Poaceae. The record is from RNAcentral.